This is a long non-coding RNA of Oreochromis aureus, 2931 nucleotides long. The record is from Ensembl. NCBI's taxonomy places the organism in Eukaryota, Metazoa, Chordata, Actinopteri, Cichliformes, Cichlidae.
UUAAUAUUAUUUUUUUUUAAAUCUAAUAAAAGGUAAACGAUGGCACAUUUCUCAUCAGUCUUACACAAAUCAAAAACUCUAUUUCUCAAAAUAUUGAUCCAUGUCUGCAGUCUUCUAUUUUUAGGGCUGGCAUGGAUUGCAGUGUCAAAGUUGUGGGGACCUAAAUACCUGGUGGCACCCCUGCUCACACUGUAACAGCUGGGAAAGGCUCCAGCACCGCUGUGACACUGGAAUUGAUUAUUUAAAACAACAGUGAGUAUCUUAUCAGUGUGUACUUCAAAAAUCAGUCCUGUACUGCCAUCUUCAGUAUGAUAGAUGAGAUAACACAUAACAUGUGAACACUUCCCCCUUUUUGAACACCAUAAAGACAGAUAUGGUUUCAGCUCGAUUAUUUUAUAACAGGCUCAAAGUUCAGCAUUUGACACAGUUUAUACCUGAUCUAACCAGAUUCAACAAUGUGUGUUAAUCUGAUAAAUUCAUAUUUUUCCAGCAAUAUACUUUGAUUAACAAGAACUUGGAAUCUUAAGAAGCUAUUUUUUUUCCAAAACUCUGACCAUAUAUGAGGGAUCUGCAGUUGAUAAGCCGGUAAGACGCAGUUUAAUGAUUUUCAGACUUAGUCUCACAGAACUUUCCACAGGUAAGUCUCUUUCAAAUUCGGUAUUUGUAAGUUCUACAUGCUUUUCUGAUGUCUAGUUAAAAAGUCUAAUUAUAAUAUAAUUUAUUUCACUGUCAUAAAUAAAUCUUUGUAAAUGUAGUGAAAUGCUUUAGAAAUGAAUCGCUGAGAUUUUAGAUAUUUGACUGGAGAGCAGAAAAUAAAGUUUAUAAAGUGAAAGUAUACAUUAAAGGCCUGGGCAGAGUAAUUCUAUUGUGGACCAAAACCGUAUCUAUCUAUGAAAAGUCAUACAAAGGUAAUUUCAAGAACAGAGUUAGCACUGAUCAACAGUUAUUCUCUAGGCUGCGAUUUGCUUUAAUCAAUAACUUUAUGUCUGUUGCUUUAACUCUGGAGUUACGGCAAUAACAUGUUAAGUGAAAGUCAUGUUGACUGGGCGUAGCGUUUUGUGGGAGAAACGUUUUGUCACUCAUCCAAGUGACUUCUUCAGUCUCAGCUGACUGCAGGUUUCCCCAAUCUUAUAAACAGAACAUUUGCAUAAUGACUGAAACCAGCCCACUGAAGGCACAAUCCGAUCGAGAAUCUGUGGCAAGAUCUGAAAACUGCUGUUCACAAACGCUGUCCAUCUAAUCUGACUGAGCUGGAGCUGUUUUGCAAAGAAGAAUGGGCAAGGAUUUCAGUCUGUAGAUGUGCAAAGCUGGUAGAGACAUACCCUAAAAGACUGGCAGCUGGAAUUGCAGCAAAAGGUGGUUCUACAAAGUAUUGACUCAGGGGGCUGAAUAAUUAUGCACACCCCACUUUUCAGUUAUUUAUUUGUAAAAAAUGUUUGGAAUCAUGUAUGAUUUUCGUUCCACUUCUCACGUGUACACCACUUUGUAUUGGUCUUUCACGUGGAAUUCCAAUAAAAUUGAUUCAUGUUUGUGGCUGUAAUGUGACAAAAUGUGGAAAAGUUCAAGGGGGCCGAAUACUUUUGCAAGCCACUGUAUGCCCUAUAGCUGCAGAAAAGGCUAACAUUGUUAUCUUUUUACAAAAAAACAGCUGAACAUGAGAGGUUUUUGGACCAAUUUUGUGUUCUCCAUUCUUUAAGCACCGGUUUGAGCACCGGCACUGGUAUCGGAUAAAACCUAAACGAUACCCAUCCUUGGUCACAGACACUUCGCCUGCUAGUUUGGCUCGUUGCAUCAUCCUGUUAAUUUUAUCAGUUGUUUUUCUUGUACGUAGAAAGAGGAAACACCUGAUGAGGACCAAUAGAAGGCCAAAGGAUCAGACUGAAGAUUUUCAAGUGUCCUCUGAAGAAGACAGAGAGAGAGAGCAGCUCAGUAUGAUGUGGAAGUUGCCAAUAACUUCAAGGCAGCAGCUUCAGGAGGAACAACAGAGGAGGGAGGCUGCUGAAAAUACACUUGGCGACCUGCAGAACGAUAAAGAAAAGUUGGAGAAGAAGAAUACUGAAAUCAUCAAUCAGCUCCAGCACGAGAAAGAAACAUUAGAGGAGCUGAAGAAGCAGCUGGAGUCCAAAAAUCAGGAGCUUUCUGACAGCAUCAGUGAGCUUAACAGGGAGAAAAGGAUAAAGGAGAGUGAAAUAAACACCAUGAGGGUUCAGCUGGAGUCCAACAAACAGGAGAUGAUGAAAUCUGAGAGGGAGAAGGAUGAAAUCAUUACGAAGCUGAGGCAGACGAUCCUUACACUGGAAUCAAAGGCCAGUCUCCAGGAGGAGAAACAGAGAAGGGAGAAAGCUGAGAAACAAGUUCAGAUGUUGCCAACAGAAACAGAGGAGGAGAAACAGAACAAAGAGGAAACUGAGAAAAAAGUUCAGACCUUGCAGAUCAAAACAGAGAAGAUUUCUCACAUCAACAGUCCGUCCAAGCAGAAGAAAUAGACACUGAAGGAGCCUCAGAAAGAAGUCAAGGAACAGCCCAAGAAUCAGUGCUGUGCUUUCUGAUUUGAUUUUUAAAGAAUUAGUUUACAUUUAUGUUUACAUCAACAGCUGGUGUGACAAAGCAAAUUGCAAGGCACCCAUAUGUGUAUGCUUGUGUGCAGAACAGAGAGCAAUUUUAAAAUGUGUAACUUGAAUGCUGUUAUACCCCCAACUGGUCACAGCAGAUGUCCACCCCUCCCUGAGCCUGAUUCUGCUGGAGGUUUCUUCCUCUCAAAUCGGCAUUUUUCCUUCCCACUGUCACCAAGGAACUGGACUCACAUUGAGGUUUUUUGAUUGUUGGGGUUUUCUCUGUAUUAUUGUACGAUCUUUACAUGACAACAUAAUGAACUUUGACUUUGUGACUGUUGUUGUGAUUUGGUGCUAUAUAAAUAAAAUGUAAUUGAAA